CCACACGACCGUACCGCAAACCGACACUGGUGCGCGAGAUGAGUAUUCUAAGGCGCUUGAGAGAACUCAGGAGAAGGAACUCGGCAAAUUGACACCGUAACUUCGGAAGAAGGUGUGCCUUUAGUAGGUGAACCAUUUACUUGGGGAGCCCAAUGAGGCUGCAAAAAAUCGGUGGCUGCAACUGUUUAUUAAAAACACAGCACUCUGCUAAGACGAAAGUCGACGUAUAGGGUGUGACGCCUGCCCGGUGCUGGAAGAUUAAAUGAUGGGGUGCAAGCUCUUGAUUGAAGUCCCAGUAAACGGCGGCCGUAACUAUAACGGUCCUAAGGUAGCGAAAUUCCUUGUCGGGUAAGUUCCGACCUGCACGAAUGGCGUAAUGAUGGCCACACUGUCUCCUCCUGAGACUCAGCGAAGUUGAAAUGUUUGUGAUGAUGCAAUCUCCCCGCGGAAAGACGGAAAGACCCCAUGAACCUUUACUGUAGCUUUGUAUUGGACUUUGAACAGAUCUGUGUAGGAUAGGUGGGAGGCUUUGAAGUGUGGUCGCUAGAUCGCAUGGAGCCAACGUUGAAAUACCACCCUGGUGUGUUUGAGGUUCUAACCUAGGUCCAUUAUCUGGAUCGGGGACAGUGCAUGGUAGGCAGUUUGACUGGGGCGGUCUCCUCCCAAAGUGUAACGGAGGAGUUCGAAGGUACGCUAGGUACGGUCGGACAUCGUGCUAAUAGUGCAAUGGCAUAAGCGUGCUUAACUGCGAGACUGACAAGUCGAGCAGAUGCGAAAGCAGGACAUAGUGAUCCGGUGGUUCUGUAUGGAAGGGCCAUCGCUCAACGGAUAAAAGGUACUCUGGGGAUAACAGGCUGAUACCGCCCAAGAGUUCAUAUCGACGGCGGUGUUUGGCACCUCGAUGUCGGCUCAUCUCAUCCUGGGGCUGUAGCCGGUCCCAAGGGUAUGGCUGUUCGCCAUUUAAAGAGGUACGUGAGCUGGGUUUAAAACGUCGUGAGACAGUUUGGUCCCUAUCUUCCGUGGGCGCUGCAGAUUUGAGGAAGCCUGCUCCUAGUACGAGAGGACCGGAGUGGACGAACCUCUGGUGUAUCGGUUGUCACGCCAGUGGCAUUGCCGAGUAGCUAAGUUCGGAAGAGAUAACCGCUGAAAGCAUCUAAGCGGGAAACUCGUUUCAAGAUUAGAUCUGCCGGGGCCUUGAGCCCCCUAAAGAGUCGUUCAAGACCAGGACGUUGAUAGGUCAGGUGUGGAAGC
RNAcentral lists this ribosomal RNA (1251 nucleotides) under metagenome. RNAcentral's name for it is "bacterial LSU rRNA". It matches the Rfam family "Bacterial large subunit ribosomal RNA", at positions 1634 to 2874 of the family's 2925-position model. The record is from RNAcentral.